UACGUAGGUGGCGGAGCGUUGUCCGGAUUUACUGGGCGUAAAGAGCGCGCAGGCGGUCGUACAAGUCGCGUGUGAAAGCCCCCGGCUCAACUGGGGAGGGUCACGCGAUACUGUUCGACUCGAAGGCAGGAGAGGGUAGUGGAAUUCCCGGUGUAGUGGUGAAAUGCGUAGAUAUCGGGAGGAACACCAGUGGCGAAGGCGACUACCUGGCCUGUUCUUGACGCUGAGGCGCGAAAGCUAGGGUAGCAAACGGG
This 254-nucleotide ribosomal RNA is filed under the name uncultured bacterium. Its description in RNAcentral is "partial 16S ribosomal RNA". It matches the Rfam family "Bacterial small subunit ribosomal RNA", at positions 524 to 776 of the family's 1533-position model. The record is from RNAcentral.